Lolium perenne is the source of this 2307-nucleotide non-coding RNA. The record is from RefSeq and is a predicted model, not a curated record. NCBI's taxonomy places the organism in Eukaryota, Viridiplantae, Streptophyta, Magnoliopsida, Poales, Poaceae.
UAUCCAUUCCCGUCUCCUUCCACCAAAUCGGCAAAAUCCCCAAUUCACCGUGGCAAACCCUUCCCCCUAGCCGAGUUCGCUGCAAUGGUGCUGACCGUGCGGUGUGAGAGUGUGAGUCUGUGAGAUCCGCCAAAUCCGUCCUCCUCCCUCCACCCAAUGGAGCACAGCGAUGCGGCCAAGCGACUGAAGCUCCCCGACGGCAGCGACGAGGAGGACCGCCUCAGCGCGCUGCCGGACGACAUUCUCAUCGACGUCCUCGCCAAGCUCCGCAGGGCCACCGCCGUCGCUGCUCGGACCAGCGUCCUCUCCCGCCGCUGGCGUGGCCUCUGGGCGUUCCUUCCGGAGCUCCUUUUUCCCGUCGGCACCGAGCCGCACCACAUACGGUCCGCCCUCACAGCGCACGAAGCGCCGGCCAUCCGCUCCCUCUCCGUCCACCUCCGGGACGCCGAUCCGGAGUCGGUGGCGACCUGGAAAUGGGGAGUUGUUGAGCUGCCUUGCAUUGAGAGAGCCACCGCGAUCUGGCUCAUGCUAGGUCAUUUUGACCUCAAUCUUCCGCCUUCCGGCGUGUUUGGCAGGCUCACCGAUCUCCGUCUCGUAGCCUUUAGGCUGCAUGGUCCGUGCAGGCUCGGUGAUAUGGUCUCCUCGCCGUGAUGCCCGUCCUUGCGGAAACUAUUCCUCCGUGAUGUCGGAGUUCUGGGCAACAUCGUAGUCCACUCGGAGUCUCUCCUACAAAUAGAGAUGGACAAUGUGGGCCUACACAACCCCAGUGGUGGCAUUGUCAACAUUCGCUCGGAGUCUCUCCUCCAAAUAGAGCUCACGGAUUUUGCCUUGAAGCAGCUCACUAUAGUGGCACCAGCACUCAAGCUCCUAAAAGAACGCUGCUACAUGGAUUUUGAUGUGAAUUCCAGCGAGCCAGCUGCCAAAAUCUCAGCCCCUCAGCUCAUUUCGCUCGAGUGGAAUUAUUAUUGUGGUCCAAGAUCCGUCCAGUUUGAUAAGAUGGCGAAUCUCUCUUUUCUCUACGCUGGCCGUCUUCCUGCGCAUCCAUUUAAUUUGUAUUUACCACAUAAUCCCACUGGGCUUUUGCACUGCUUUGAGCACAUCGUCUGUCUUUACUUCACGCUUGUCUAUCGGAAGGUGAGUUUGCUCUUAUUCGAUUUAAGUUAUUCAUCAUUGUAAUAAGCCGCAAAGUCAAUAGUGGUAAGGAAAACAUGAGUUGGUCUUAAGGAACAUGUCAAUUGGUAUAUUUGACAAAACAUUAGUACAAAAUUCUCACUUGUAUUUGUUUCCUCAUGCCCCGGUAACAUGGCUUAGUGCAUGCAAUCUUUAUUCUUUCCCACUACAUUUAUAUCCUCUUACAAUAACAUUGAAUUCUAGCACUACUGCACUAUGAUUUUAGUCAUUCAAGGGGCCACAGUGGAGAGCAGACACAAAAGAUCAUAUCCUUUUUGUUAAUCACUUCGUAGAAAAUGAGAUGUCUGUGUCUUUUUCCAACUGUUAUGUAUACUCCUUCUGUUACUUCAUAUCAACCUACAGGACAUUGCCAACCACCCAUACCUGAUAGAAGAAAUGCCAAGGCUCCCUCAUGUUAUGUUAUUAUCCCUGAAUGUGGAGGCAAAGGGACAUUCCUUUGGAGCUAGUUUAUUCCAUGUUCUCAGGAUGUGUACUAAUGUAAGAAAGCUGGCUCUUGCAUUUGACGUCAGUACUGAGCAACUGGAGGAAGAAACUGGAUGCCCAUCAGGUUGCGUAUGUGAUCAGCCACCAAACUGGAAAACCGAGGAACUCCAGCUGAGUUGCCUCUGGAACAUAGAAAUUACAGGCUGGAGAGGAGCUGAAAAGGAAGUUGCUUUUGUGGAGCGGUUAUUCAGUUGGGCAACAGCGCUGAAAGAAGUGAGAGUAACUUUCCAUCAGUCAAUCACUGGAAGCAUCGCCGAGGAUCUCUGUCAGACAUUACUAAGCUUCUCUAGGCCAGAAACAUGUACGGAAUUUCGCACGCACGGUGGUUUGUUCAAGAAGGUUGUGGGCAGCAGCCUGUGCCUUGCACUAGCUGGCAGUCUCUCUCUUGGUAUCAUCUGGUUGCACUCUACUCUGUAGUAACGAUCAAAAUCAUGUUACAGGACAAUGUCAUCAUCGGCCUGUUUGGCAAGGUUUAGGCUGUUAGAACUUGCUUAUGUUUUAUCCGCUGUACUGUCAGAACCUGUUUAUGUUGCAUGUGUUGUAAGCAAGGUUUUCAGUAUCGAGAUUAGGCAGUAUCGUUUUUUUUUUCCUUCAACAGUAUCGUAUCGUAAUAUCAUGACACUAUGCGGUUUC